UCCGAGUUGACCCCGGCAGUCUCCUGCGAGUCCCCGCCAUCACGCGCUGGCAACAUAGAACGAGGGUUGCGCUCGUUGCGGGACUUAACCCAACAUCUCACGACACGAGCUGACGACAACCAUGCACCACCUGUGCAGGAUCUCCGAAGAGGGGCUCUCGUUUCUGAGAGCUUGCUCCUGCAUGUCAAGCCUAGGUAAGGUUCUUCGCGUUGCGUCGAAUUAAACCACAUGCUCCACCGCCUGUGCGGGCCCCCGUCAAUUCCUUUGAGUUUUAGCCUUGCGGCCGUACUCCCCAGGCGGGGCACUUAAUGCGUUAGCUACGGCACGGAACCCGUUGAAUAGGCCCCACACCUAGUGCCCAACGUUUACGGCGUGGACUAC
RNAcentral lists this unclassified non-coding RNA (381 nucleotides) under uncultured Actinomycetes bacterium. RNAcentral describes it as "uncultured actinobacterium contains 16S-23S intergenic spacer region". Lineage: Bacteria; Bacillati; Actinomycetota; Actinomycetes. The record is from RNAcentral.